This 567-nucleotide ribosomal RNA is filed under the name Debaryomyces sp. S432Y301. RNAcentral describes it as "eukaryotic LSU rRNA". The stretch from base 169 to 322 matches the Rfam family "5.8S ribosomal RNA". Lineage: Eukaryota; Fungi; Ascomycota; Pichiomycetes; Serinales; Debaryomycetaceae. The record is from RNAcentral.
CGGCGAAAAACCUUACACACAGUGUUUUUUGUUAUUACAAGAACUUUUGCUUUGGUCUGGACUAGAAAUAGUUUGGGCCAGAGGUUUACUGAACUAAACUUCAAUAUUUAUAUUGAAUUGUUAUUUAUUUAAUUGUCAAUUUGUUGAUUAAAUUCAAAAAAUCUUCAAAACUUUCAACAACGGAUCUCUUGGUUCUCGCAUCGAUGAAGAACGCAGCGAAAUGCGAUAAGUAAUAUGAAUUGCAGAUUUUCGUGAAUCAUCGAAUCUUUGAACGCACAUUGCGCCCUCUGGUAUUCCAGAGGGCAUGCCUGUUUGAGCGUCAUUUCUCUCUCAAACCUUCGGGUUUGGUAUUGAGUGAUACUCUUAGUCGAACUAGGCGUUUGCUUGAAAUGUAUUGGCAUGAGUGGUACUGGAUAGUGCUAUAUGACUUUCAAUGUAUUAGGUUUAUCCAACUCGUUGAAUAGUUUAAUGGUAUAUUUCUCGGUAUUCUAGGCUCGGCCUUACAAUAUAACAAACAAGUUUGACCUCAAAUCAGGUAGGAUUACCCGCUGAACUUAAGCAUAUCAA